This 138-nucleotide small nucleolar RNA is filed under the name Ornithorhynchus anatinus (platypus). The record is from RNAcentral. Lineage: Eukaryota; Metazoa; Chordata; Mammalia; Monotremata; Ornithorhynchidae.
CCCUUCUCAGGGUCACAUCUGGAGAGUUUUCACUACUCUAUCAGUCUCGACUACAGGAGGGAGAGUCAAGCAGAUGCCUACCCAAUCCAUUCCUAGCUUGGGCAGUGGCUAGCGAGUGGAAGGCAAUCUGCUACAAGU